GAUGAACGCUGGCGGCGUGCCUAAUACAUGCAAGUCGAGCGAACAGACGAGGAGCUUGCUCCUCUGACGUUAGCGGCGGACGGGUGAGUAACACGUGGAUAACCUACCUAUAAGACUGGGAUAACUUCGGGAAACCGGAGCUAAUACCGGAUAAUAUAUUGAACCGCAUGGUUCAAUAGUGAAAGACGGUUUUGCUGUCACUUAUAGAUGGAUCCGCGCCGGAUUAGCUAGUUGGUAAGGUAACGGCUUACCAAGGGAACGAUGCGUAGCCGACCUGAGAGGGGGAUCGGCCACACUGGAACUGGGACACGGCCCAGACUCCUACGGGGGGCAGCAGUAGGGAAUCUUCCGCAAUGGGCGAAAGCCUGACGGAGCAACGCCGCGUGAGUGAUGAAGGUCUUCGGAUCGUAAAACUCUGUUAUUAGGGAAGAACAAAUGUGUAAGUAACUAUGCACGUCUUGACGGUACCUAAUCAGAAAGCCACGGCUAACUACGUG
RNAcentral lists this ribosomal RNA (497 nucleotides) under uncultured bacterium. RNAcentral's name for it is "partial 16S ribosomal RNA". It matches the Rfam family "Bacterial small subunit ribosomal RNA", at positions 28 to 507 of the family's 1533-position model. The record is from RNAcentral.